This 312-nucleotide small RNA is filed under the name Macaca fascicularis (crab-eating macaque). RNAcentral describes it as "Metazoan signal recognition particle RNA (ENSMFAG00000013849.2)". The stretch from base 1 to 148 matches the Rfam family "Metazoan signal recognition particle RNA". The record is from RNAcentral. Lineage: Eukaryota; Metazoa; Chordata; Mammalia; Primates; Cercopithecidae.
GCUGGGUGUGGUGGUGGACGCCUGUAAUCCCAGCUACACAGGAGGCUGAGGCGGGAGAAUCGCUUGAACCUGGGAGGUGGAGGUUGCAGUGAGCUGAGACUGUGCCACUGCACUCCAGCCUGGGUGACAAAGUGAGACUCCGUCUCAAAAAAAAAAAAAGAUGUUCAUUUGUGCUUUAUUAUUUAUAAUAACAAAUAUAAUUUUUUUUUUUAAGAUGAAGUCUCACUCUGUCCCCCAGGCUAGAGUGCAGUGGUGCGACGGCAGCUCACUGCAACCUCUGCCUCCCAGGUUCAAGCGAUUCUCCUGCCUCAG